GGAAGGGAGGAAGCGUAGAAGGUGCCGAUGCACUUUUCCUCUCUCCAGCCCUCCUGACUGCUCCAAGAAUUUCAUCGAACAAGACUCAAAGAGGCCCAGCUGCUCUGCGUUUUGAUUCUUCUCCCUCUCUCAGUCCACACUGACCUGGGAGGGGCUUCUCAAACACCACAUUUCCUAGCGUGCUGUGAGAAGAGGACUGUGAGCUAAGAAGGGAGAAAAGACGCAUCUUCCCUACAUUCACUUGGGGACAGAAGCCUAAUAUCACCCACUGCUCCCUCAGUGUGUUCAGUACCUACCUGACAACAUGGAGAGGCAGCCAGGAUGUCGUAGGUGUACAUAGUGCCCAGCUGGUGCCAGCUGCCAUCCC
Molecule: long non-coding RNA, 367 nt
Organism: Homo sapiens (human)
Lineage: Eukaryota; Metazoa; Chordata; Mammalia; Primates; Hominidae
Source: Ensembl